GACGAACGCUGGCGGCGUGCUUAACACAUGCAAGUCGAACGGAAAGGCCUCUUUCUGGGGGUACUCGAGUGGCGAACGGGUGAGUAACACGUGAGUAACCUGCCCUUGACUUUGGGAUAACUUCAGGAAACUGGGGCUAAUACCGGAUAGAAGCUCCUGCUGCAUGGUGGGGGUUGGAAAGUUUCGGCGGGUGGGGAUGGACUCGCGGCUUAUCAGCUUGUUGGUGGGGUAGUGGCUUACCAAGGCUUUGACGGGUAGCCGGCCUGAGAGGGUGACCGGCCACAUUGGGACUGGGAUACGGGCCAGAAUCCUACGGGGGGCAGCAGUGGGGAAUAUUGCACAAUGGGUGGAAGCCUGAUGCAGCAACGCCGUGUGCGGGAUGACGGGCUUCGGGUUGUAAACCGCUUUCGCUCAUGACGAAGCUUUGUGUGACGGUAGUGGGUAAAGAAGCACCGGCUAACUACGUG
Molecule: ribosomal RNA, 467 nt
Filed under: uncultured bacterium
Lineage: Bacteria
Description: partial 16S ribosomal RNA
Rfam family: Bacterial small subunit ribosomal RNA
Source: RNAcentral